AAGCCAGCCUGUGUGAGCGGCCACCAGCGGCCAGGCAGCCCUCAGCCUGGUGUCCCCGAGCAAGCCCACCAGCCAGGUCGCGGGCCCUGACUGCUGUCUGCUGUAUCCCCGCCUCCCCGGGACAGCGUACCUGAGGCCCUGCCAAGCUGCCCUUCCUGCUGGCGGUCCCUGCUCUGCCCCGCUGCCCUGUCGCGGGGCCUCUGGAUCUUCUCCUGGACCACAGAGAAGGAGCCCGGGCCCAGAGAAGGCCAGCACGAGUCCAGGGCCACACAGCAGGUCUUCAGGGAGCUCUGAGCGGAGGGGUCCAGCCCAAGGUCUCACCAGACCCAGGCGCAGCUGGAGGAGGAGGAGAGCCCGCGGCAGUGGUCCUGGGAACUAAGAUAGCUGGUGAGCCUGGCUCACGGGGCCUCAGACCUGCCAGGACCAUCUCACCACCUUGCCUGCUGACAGAGCCUCAAACCAGGCCCCUCCGCCCACCUGCCAAGAGGCCUUGAGCAGGUCGUGGCCCCUCUCCUGGUCUUCUUCACUUCCCCCCUUGUGAAACGGGGCUGACUCUGCCUUCUCACAGGCUGCUGCAAAGGAGAAAUAGGAGUGCAUUUGGAAUCAUCCGGUAUACAGUAGGUGCUCAAUAGGCACGUAUGCCUUUCUGCCCUUUUCCUGCCCUCCCGAGGGAGUGGCCACCCUGGCCUUGUCCCCGAGGCCCUGCCCCCAGCUUUCUUC
RNAcentral lists this long non-coding RNA (720 nucleotides) under Ursus maritimus (polar bear). RNAcentral describes it as "lncRNA (ENSUMAG00000013122.1)". The record is from RNAcentral. Lineage: Eukaryota; Metazoa; Chordata; Mammalia; Carnivora; Ursidae.